RNAcentral lists this long non-coding RNA (1226 nucleotides) under Macaca fascicularis (crab-eating macaque). Its description in RNAcentral is "lncRNA (ENSMFAG00000050787.1)". The record is from RNAcentral. Lineage: Eukaryota; Metazoa; Chordata; Mammalia; Primates; Cercopithecidae.
AGUACUGACAAACCCUGCAGACACUAGUACAAUUUGAUCGUAAACAAAGCCCUUGCCAGCACAGUCCAGCAAAUUCGGAGAAAACACAUACAAAAGUUAAAAGACAGCUCGAUUUUAUCGUCCUCCCAACACUUGCAACUGUUUCCAGAUUUUCUGUGCAGUCUUCUUUGUGCUUUCAGUUCAGUCAAAAUUAGAAAGAACAACAAACUUGUAAAGUCAGGCGCUAACUGUGCAAAACUGACCAGACCAUGGAGAAGGGGAGGCACCAUUUUACAAAAUAUUAUUAAGAUCACCAGCAUUAAUUUAAAUUAUUUUCUUUUCUGGACUUCCAAGUCCACUUGGCAAUUUACUUGGGAAAAUAUCAUGCUUAAAUAGAAAACUGGUAUUCUAAACACAUUUUCUUUAUGUGACAUAUUCUUGUGUGUCUAUGUAAUGAGAAUUUUUAAAAAAUUGUUUUCUUCCUGCUGUCAAAACUUCGGCAUUAAAAAUAAGGGACUGUAAACCUAGCUGACUUACCCAUAAAAAGGAGUAAGUUCGGGAGAUGAGAGGACCAACAGAAUCCAAGCACCCUGUCACUCCCAGCCCGGACCUCUCAGGCGUGGUUUUGACAGGAGGUGCGUUUAUGGGGCAUUCACUGGCUCCUCAGAAUGGACAGAUAAUAUAGAAAUGCUAGGAAGAAACAUUCCUGCAACAGUCUGCAGAACAAAUGUGCCAGUUUUGCCUUAGAAUGUCUUAAGACAUCUCAGCAAUGUUGGAUCAUAUGGCCCCUUUGGCUAUAUGACCCAUCUUUAAAGCUGAAAUAAAAAUUGUUAGAAAAAUAUUCUAGGAGGAAUGAAACUAAAAAAAAAAAAAAAAAAAAAAAAAAAAAAAAAAGUUAAAAAUAUGUGCUCACCUUAAUUGUUUCACUGUGUCAGUUUUGGUUCUGAAUGUGACGUGAGGAUCCUAUCCAAUGCAGCUAUUAAACCAUGCAGCCACCACAGGUAUGUCGUACGUAAGACCUCAUUACAGUGACGAUUUAACAGCACAAGUUAAUUUUUUCAUGGCUCAUCAUGACAAAACGAUUACAGAGUAGGCGAAGAACAGAGUGAGUGCUUUCUUCUCACCAGGGCCUUCAUCAGUGAGUCAACUGCUCUUGACGCCAGCAAGUCAGUCUGAUGUUCCCAGGUGAAACCCGCCCUUGGCUCCGUGAGCGAAUGAGACCGAGGUAAACCCAAUGCAGCUCUGCA